This 253-nucleotide ribosomal RNA is filed under the name uncultured bacterium. Its description in RNAcentral is "partial 16S ribosomal RNA". It matches the Rfam family "Bacterial small subunit ribosomal RNA", at positions 524 to 776 of the family's 1533-position model. The record is from RNAcentral.
UACGAAGGGGGCUAGCGUUGUUCGGAUUUACUGGGCGUAAAGCGCACGUAGGCGGAUCGAUCAGUCAGGGGUGAAAUCCCAGAGCUCAACUCUGGAACUGCCUUUGAUACUGUCGAUCUGGAGUAUGGAAGAGGUGAGUGGAAUUCCGAGUGUAGAGGUGAAAUUCGUAGAUAUUCGGAGGAACACCAGUGGCGAAGGCGGCUCACUGGCCCGGUACUGACGCUGAGGUGCGAAAGCGUGGGGAGCAAACAGG